GCGCCUGUAGCUCAUUUGGAUAGAGCGUCAGACUCCGACUCUGAAGGCGGCUGGUUCGAAUCCAGUCAGGCGCGCCA
Molecule: transfer RNA, 77 nt
Filed under: Ruminococcus sp.
Lineage: Bacteria; Bacillati; Bacillota; Clostridia; Eubacteriales; Oscillospiraceae
Also listed under: 7 other names
Description: tRNA-Arg
Rfam family: tRNA
About the family: Transfer RNA (tRNA) molecules are approximately 80 nucleotides in length. Their secondary structure includes four short double-helical elements and three loops (D, anti-codon, and T loops). Further hydrogen bonds mediate the characteristic L-shaped molecular structure. tRNAs have two regions of fundamental functional importance: the anti-codon, which is responsible for specific mRNA codon recognition, and the 3' end, to which the tRNAs corresponding amino acid is attached (by aminoacyl-tRNA synthetases). tRNAs cope with the degeneracy of the genetic code in two manners: having more than one tRNA (with a specific anti-codon) for a particular amino acid; and 'wobble' base-pairing, i.e. permitting non-standard base-pairing at the 3rd anti-codon position.
Source: RNAcentral